UGACAAAGUUCUUAAUAAGUAGAUACUAAAA
RNAcentral lists this non-coding RNA (31 nucleotides) under Mus musculus (house mouse). The record is from RNAcentral. Lineage: Eukaryota; Metazoa; Chordata; Mammalia; Rodentia; Muridae.